GAUGAACGCUGGCGGCGUGCCUAAUACAUGCAAGUCGAGCGAACAGACGAGGAGCUUGCUCCUUUGACGUUAGCGGCGGACGGGUGAGUAACACGUGGGUAACCUACCUAUAAGACUGGGAUAACUUCGGGAAACCGGAGCUAAUACCGGAUAAUAUUUCGAACCGCAUGGUUCGAUAGUGAAAGAUGGCUUUGCUAUCACUUAUAGAUGGACCUGCGCCGUAUUAGCUAGUUGGUAAGGUAACGGCUUACCAAGGCAACGAUACGUAGCCGACCUGAGAGGGUGAUCGGCCACACUGGAACUGAGACACGGUCCAGACUCCUACGGGAGGCAGCAGUAGGGAAUCUUCCGCAAUGGGCGAAAGCCUGACGGAGCAACGCCGCGUGAGUGAUGAAGGUCUUCGGAUCGUAAAACUCUGUUAUUAGGGAAGAACAAACGUGUAAGUAACUGUGCACGUCUUGACGGUACCUAAUCAGAAAGCCACGGCUAACUACGUGCCAGCAGCCGCGGUAAUACGUAGGUGGCAAGCGUUAUCCGGAAUUAUUGGGCGUAAAGCGCGCGUAGGCGGUUUUUUAAGUCUGAUGUGAAAGCCCACGGCUCAACCGUGGAGGGUCAUUGGAAACUGGAAAACUUGAGUGCAGAAGAGGAAAGUGGAAUUCCACGUGUAGCGGUGAAAUGCGCAGAGAUAUGGAGGAACACCAGUGGCGAAGGCGACUUUCUGGUCUGUAACUGACGCUGAUGUGCGAAAGCGUGGGGAUCAAACAGGAUUAGAUACCCUGGUAGUCCACGCCGUAAACGAUGAGUGCUAAGUGUUAGGGGGUUUCCGCCCCUUAGUGCUGCAGCUAACGCAUUAAGCACUCCGCCUGGGGAGUACGACCGCAAGGUUGAAACUCAAAGGAAUUGACGGGGACCCGCACAAGCGGUGGAGCACGUGGUUUAAUUCGAAGCAACGCGAAGAACCUUACCAAAUCUUGACAUCCUUUGACCCUUCUAGAGAUAGAAGUUUCCCCUUCGGGGGACAAAGUGACAGGUGGUGCAUGGUUGUCGUCAGCUCGUGUCGUGAGAUGUUGGGUUAAGUCCCGCAACGAGCGCAACCCUUAAGCUUAGUUGCCAUCAUUAAGUUAGGCACUCUAAGUUGACUGCCGGUGACAAACCGGAGGAAGGUGGGGAUGACGUCAAAUCAUCAUGCCCCUUAUGAUUUGGGCUACACACGUGCUACAAUGGACAAUACAAAGGGCAGCGAAACCGCGAGGUCAAGCAAAUCCCAUAAAGUUGUUCUCAGUUCGGAUUGUAGUCUGCAACUCGACUACAUGAAGCUGGAAUCGCUAGUAAUCGUAGAUCAGCAUGCUACGGUGAAUACGUUCCCGGGUCU
RNAcentral lists this ribosomal RNA (1372 nucleotides) under uncultured bacterium. RNAcentral describes it as "bacterial SSU rRNA". It matches the Rfam family "Bacterial small subunit ribosomal RNA", at positions 28 to 1381 of the family's 1533-position model. The record is from RNAcentral.